UAUUUUGGGAACUGUCUACCUAA
RNAcentral lists this non-coding RNA (23 nucleotides) under Mus musculus (house mouse). Lineage: Eukaryota; Metazoa; Chordata; Mammalia; Rodentia; Muridae. The record is from RNAcentral.